RNAcentral lists this long non-coding RNA (307 nucleotides) under Lathyrus oleraceus (garden pea). Its description in RNAcentral is "Pisum sativum (pea) long non-coding RNA (PSAT_LNC040740)". Lineage: Eukaryota; Viridiplantae; Streptophyta; Magnoliopsida; Fabales; Fabaceae. The record is from RNAcentral.
GUCCCUGUGAUGUGGCAUUUGUAUUCCUAGGAUCAUACUGUGGAGGUUAACAUAAGUCCAGAUAGAUUGGCAGUUGACUUCCCUGUUUUGUUUUUUUGUUUUAUUCUGAUGGAGAUUAGUGUAAGUCCAUAGAGUGGCUUCUGAUAUCCUUACUUGUUUUAGGAGACAGGUAUAAGACCAUUGAGUGGCAUCCAGUAUCCGCUUUUAUUGACUUUCAUCUGUUACCAUGUUCAUAUUAUUGCUCAUUUGUAGCCUAUUCCUAAGGACCCACUUGAAUCAUCUUCUAUAUGAUUUCAAGAGGUGGACC